This 1544-nucleotide ribosomal RNA is filed under the name Lactiplantibacillus pentosus. RNAcentral describes it as "Lactobacillus pentosus 16S ribosomal RNA". It matches the Rfam family "Bacterial small subunit ribosomal RNA". Lineage: Bacteria; Bacillati; Bacillota; Bacilli; Lactobacillales; Lactobacillaceae. The record is from RNAcentral.
UGAUCAUGGCUCAGGACGAACGCUGGCGGCGUGCCUAAUACAUGCAAGUCGAACGAACUCUGGUAUUGAUUGGUGCUUGCAUCAUGAUUUACAUUUGAGUGAGUGGCGAACUGGUGAGUAACACGUGGGAAACCUGCCCAGAAGCGGGGGAUAACACCUGGAAACAGAUGCUAAUACCGCAUAACAACUUGGACCGCAUGGUCCGAGUUUGAAAGAUGGCUUCGGCUAUCACUUUUGGAUGGUCCCGCGGCGUAUUAGCUAGAUGGUGGGGUAACGGCUCACCAUGGCAAUGAUACGUAGCCGACCUGAGAGGGUAAUCGGCCACAUUGGGACUGAGACACGGCCCAAACUCCUACGGGAGGCAGCAGUAGGGAAUCUUCCACAAUGGACGAAAGUCUGAUGGAGCAACGCCGCGUGAGUGAAGAAGGGUUUCGGCUCGUAAAACUCUGUUGUUAAAGAAGAACAUAUCUGAGAGUAACUGUUCAGGUAUUGACGGUAUUUAACCAGAAAGCCACGGCUAACUACGUGCCAGCAGCCGCGGUAAUACGUAGGUGGCAAGCGUUGUCCGGAUUUAUUGGGCGUAAAGCGAGCGCAGGCGGUUUUUUAAGUCUGAUGUGAAAGCCUUCGGCUCAACCGAAGAAGUGCAUCGGAAACUGGGAAACUUGAGUGCAGAAGAGGACAGUGGAACUCCAUGUGUAGCGGUGAAAUGCGUAGAUAUAUGGAAGAACACCAGUGGCGAAGGCGGCUGUCUGGUCUGUAACUGACGCUGAGGCUCGAAAGUAUGGGUAGCAAACAGGAUUAGAUACCCUGGUAGUCCAUACCGUAAACGAUGAAUGCUAAGUGUUGGAGGGUUUCCGCCCUUCAGUGCUGCAGCUAACGCAUUAAGCAUUCCGCCUGGGGAGUACGGCCGCAAGGCUGAAACUCAAAGGAAUUGACGGGGGCCCGCACAAGCGGUGGAGCAUGUGGUUUAAUUCGAAGCUACGCGAAGAACCUUACCAGGUCUUGACAUACUAUGCAAAUCUAAGAGAUUAGACGUUCCCUUCGGGGACAUGGAUACAGGUGGUGCAUGGUUGUCGUCAGCUCGUGUCGUGAGAUGUUGGGUUAAGUCCCGCAACGAGCGCAACCCUUAUUAUCAGUUGCCAGCAUUAAGUUGGGCACUCUGGUGAGACUGCCGGUGACAAACCGGAGGAAGGUGGGGAUGACGUCAAAUCAUCAUGCCCCUUAUGACCUGGGCUACACACGUGCUACAAUGGAUGGUACAACGAGUUGCGAACUCGCGAGAGUAAGCUAAUCUCUUAAAGCCAUUCUCAGUUCGGAUUGUAGGCUGCAACUCGCCUACAUGAAGUCGGAAUCGCUAGUAAUCGCGGAUCAGCAUGCCGCGGUGAAUACGUUCCCGGGCCUUGUACACACCGCCCGUCACACCAUGAGAGUUUGUAACACCCAAAGUCGGUGGGGUAACCUUUUAGGAACCAGCCGCCUAAGGUGGGACAGAUGAUUAGGGUGAAGUCGUAACAAGGUAGCCGUAGGAGAACCUGCGGUUGGAU